CAAAUGUUUGUGAUCUUGAAGCAUUUUUGUAAGUAUUGCUAAAGGAAAAGGGAUAAAUUGUGUCUUAACUAUUUGGAUAAAUGUAGCAUAAUAGCAGGCAUCUAUAACAUACAUAUAAUAUUUUAUAUUAAUACAAAAGCAAUGUUUAAGUAAUGUUGGAGUUAAAGUUAUAAAUACACUAUGUCUGAAAUAAAAGGGGUGUGACUUUGUGGGUUGGGGUGUAUUUGAGGUGUGUGAGAGUAUUGUAAAUGGGCUUUCAGGGAUAAGUUUGUCAAAGUUAAUUGGUGGUGGUGUUGUCCAUUGCAUUUGGUUGCAGUUGAAGUGUGCAUCACAAUCGUGUACAAGGUAAAUAUGUUGUGUAAUUUUUGAAUGAGUGUAAAGGAUUUGUUUAUUUGCUGAUUUUGUCGUGAGAUACUUAUGAAUGCAUUAUAUGUGUUAUGUUGUUGCAGGAAAAUGGCUUUUAGAAGUCCGUCCAAAAUUCCACGUGUGGAAGGAGAAGAGUUUGUGUUAUUGAGAGACCAGUUUUGCUUAUUAGCUGUAAGUAUUAUGCAUUUUAUAUUCUGUAAAUAAAUUGGUGUAGUCUUAAGUGUGGUACAAGGGCAUGUAUUAACGAAUGUUAAGUAAAUUGUGUUAUUUUUUGUAGUAUUCAGUGUUGGAUGAGGGUGUUACGAGACAAGGAGUUCAUCGGGAGCUGACAGAGCUCGGAAUAAAAGUAAUGAGGAAAUUUGCUGGGUUGGAUGCUCAGAAAAAAUUUCUACGGAAAGAGUUGGCUGAGGUACGCAGGAAUUUGGAGAAGUUGAAAGGAGACCUAGAAGUCACAAAGGCUGCACUGGAUUUUGUAAAAGAUGAUUAUUUUGACCUUGAGGGAGAGGAUGGUGCUCAGACUGAGAAGCAAGGAAUAGGAGAGAGUGCUGUGUUAGUGGAAGAAGAGUUGGCUGAAGUGGUUUAAAGCAGCUGAAGAAUUGAUGUAUAUACUGUAACUGUUGUAUAUA
This is a long non-coding RNA of Cyprinus carpio carpio, 992 nucleotides long. NCBI's taxonomy places the organism in Eukaryota, Metazoa, Chordata, Actinopteri, Cypriniformes, Cyprinidae. The record is from Ensembl.